UACGUAGGGUGCAAGCGUUGUCCGGAAUUAUUGGGCGUAAAGAGCUCGUAGGCGGUCUGUCGCGUUGGCUGUGAAAUCCCGAGGCUCAACCUCGGGUCUGCAGUCGAUACGGGCAAACUAGAGUAUUGCAGGGGAGACUGGAAUUCCUGGUGUAGCGGUGAAAUGCGCAGAUAUCAGGAGGAACACCGGUGGCGAAGGCGGGUCUCUGGGCAAUAACUGACGCUGAGGCGCGAAAGCGUGGGGAGCAAACAGG
RNAcentral lists this ribosomal RNA (253 nucleotides) under uncultured bacterium. Its description in RNAcentral is "partial 16S ribosomal RNA". It matches the Rfam family "Bacterial small subunit ribosomal RNA", at positions 524 to 776 of the family's 1533-position model. The record is from RNAcentral.